RNAcentral lists this ribosomal RNA (468 nucleotides) under uncultured bacterium. RNAcentral's name for it is "partial 16S ribosomal RNA". It matches the Rfam family "Bacterial small subunit ribosomal RNA", at positions 28 to 507 of the family's 1533-position model. The record is from RNAcentral.
GACGAACGCUGGCGGCGUGCUUAACACAUGCAAGUCGAACGGAAAGGCCCUGCUUUUGUGGGGUGCUCGAGUGGCGAACGGGUGAGUAACACGUGAGUAACCUGCCCUUUACUUUGGGAUAACUUCAGGAAACUGGGGCUAAUACCGGAUAGGAGCUCCUGCUGCAUGGUGGGGGUUGGAAAGUUUCGGCGGUUGGGGAUGGACUCGCGGCUUAUCAGCGUGUUGGUGGGGUAGUGGCUUACCAAGGCUUUGACGGGUAGCCGGCCUGAGGGGGUGACCGGCCACAUUGGGACUGAGAUACGGCCCAGACUCCUACGGGAGGCAGCAGUGGGGAAUAUUGCACAAUGGGCGGAAGCCUGAUGCAGCAACGCCGCGUGCGGGAUGACGGCCUUCGGGUUGUAAACCGCUUUCGCCUGUGACGAAGCGUGAGUGACGGUAAUGGGUAAAGAAGCACCGGCUAACUACGUG